RNAcentral lists this ribosomal RNA (228 nucleotides) under uncultured bacterium. RNAcentral describes it as "partial 16S ribosomal RNA". It matches the Rfam family "Bacterial small subunit ribosomal RNA", at positions 104 to 334 of the family's 1533-position model. The record is from RNAcentral.
CGGGGUGAGUAAUGUCUGGGAAACUGCCUGAUGGAGGGGGGUAACUACUGGAAACGGUAGCUAUACCGCAUAACGUCUUCGGACCAAAGUGGGGGACCUUCGGGCCUCACGCCAUCGGAUGUGCCCAGAUGGGAUUAGCUAGUAGGUGGGGUAAUGGCUCACCUAGGCGACGAUCCCUAGCUGGUCUGAGAGGAUGACCAGCCACACUGGAACUGAGACACGGUCCAG